GACGAACGCUGGCGGCGCGCUUAACACAUGCAAGUCGAACGGAAAGGCCUGCUUUCCCUUGUGGAUUGCGGGUACUCGAGUGGCGAACGGAUGAGUAACACGUGAGUGAUCUGCCCCCAACUUGGGUAUAAGCCUGGGAAACUGGGUCUAAUUCCCGAUAGGACUGCAGGGUGGUGUCUGUGGUGGCAAACGAUCUUCUAGUGGUUGGGGAUGAGCUCGCGGCCUAUCAGCUUGUUGGUGGGGUAAUGGCCUACCAAGGCGGCGACGGGUAGCCGGCCUGAGAGGGUGGACGGCCACAUUGGGACUGGGACACGGCCCAGACGCCUACGGGAGGCAGCAGUGGGGAAUAUUGCACAAUGGGCGGAAGCCUGAUGCAGCGACGCCGCGUGGGGGAUGACGGGCUUCGGGUUGUAAACUCCUUUCGACCGCGAGGAAGCCACCUGGUUGGAAGGGUGGUGACGGUAGUGGUAGAAGAAGCACCGGCUAACUACGUG
Molecule: ribosomal RNA, 494 nt
Filed under: uncultured bacterium
Lineage: Bacteria
Description: partial 16S ribosomal RNA
Rfam family: Bacterial small subunit ribosomal RNA
Source: RNAcentral